RNAcentral lists this ribosomal RNA (254 nucleotides) under uncultured bacterium. Its description in RNAcentral is "partial 16S ribosomal RNA". It matches the Rfam family "Bacterial small subunit ribosomal RNA", at positions 524 to 776 of the family's 1533-position model. The record is from RNAcentral.
CACGUAGGGUGCGAGCGUUGUCCGGAAUUAUUGGGCGUAAAGAGCUCGUAGGCGGUGUGUCGCGUCGGCCGUGAAAACCUGUGGCUUAACCAUGGGCUUGCGGUCGAUACGGGCAUCACUGGAGUUCGGCAGGGGAGACUGGAAUUCCUGGUGUAGCGGUGAAAUGCGCAGAUAUCAGGAGGAACACCGGUGGCGAAGGCGGCUAUCUGGACCGACAUUGACGCUGAGGCGCGAAAGCGUGGGGAGCAAACAGG